CAUUUUCGUCUCCUUCAUUCUUAUAUUUUGAUCUAAUAUUAUACAAUUAUUUUACUUGUGACUCUCUCUCUCUCUCUCUCUCUCUCUCUCUCUCCAAAAACCUCCGUCCAUCGAUCUGUGUUUCCAUGGCGACGAUGGGACACAACAAUCUCAAUGCAAAACUCGUCUUGCUCGGCGACAUGGGAGCUGGUAAAUCGAGCCUCGUAUUGCGAUUCGUCAAGGGCCAAUUCCUCGAAUUCCAGGAAUCGACGAUCGGAGCAGCGUUCUUCUCGCAGACGCUAGCGGUUGAUGACGCGACUGUGAAAUUCGAGAUCUGGGAUACCGCUGGCCAAGAGAGGUAUCACAGCUUAGCCCCAAUGUACUACAGAGGUGCAGCUGCUGCUAUCAUCGUUUACGACAUCACUAGCACGGAUUCAUUUACGCGGGCAAAGAAAUGGGUGCAAGAACUUCAGAAACAAGGUAAUCCUAACAUGGUGAUGGCACUUGCUGGGAAUAAAGCGGAUUUGGAAGAUAAGAGGAAAGUGACGGCAGAAAUCUCAUAUAGAAAACCCUUAUUCCCUUCCCUCUUCGAUGGUGGUGGUGGAAGAUCGUGGAUGGUGUUGAUACGUGGCAGCGAUGGUGAUGAGCGGUUGCUGUGGUGGUGGCUAUGAGUUCGUGGCUGUGGAGGCACGUGUGUAUGCUGAGGAAAAUGGUCUUUUUUUCGUGGAGACCUCUGCCAAAACUGCCGCUAAUGUCAAUGAUGCAUUCUAUGAAAUAGCUAAGAGGUUGCCUAGAGCUCAGCCGGCUCAGAACCCGGCAGGGAUGGUUCUUGUGGACAGACCAGCAGAAGGAUCCCGAACUGCAUCGUGCUGUUCCUAAGUAUAGUCUUCUAUAGUUUGUACCUUUUUUUUUUUUUUUUUUUUUUUUCUACGACUGUUGUUUUAUUUUAAUUUCCUUGUACUUAUUCAUCAUUCUAUAGUUGUAUGAUUUUAAUUUGAAGCAAGUAACUUUAAUUGUUACAAAUUGAUGAAUACCAUUUUCAAUGGUAGAACCAUAUGAGACGAAAAAUGUACACUACUCUAUGUGAAGUACACUUCUAAUGAGUAUAUCCUUGCAAAGAAAAAAAUAGUAGAAAAUGUUGGGUGACUACA
This is an RNA transcript of Camellia sinensis, 1130 nucleotides long. It is a transcript of the gene named ras-related protein RHN1, with no coding region annotated. Lineage: Eukaryota; Viridiplantae; Streptophyta; Magnoliopsida; Ericales; Theaceae. The record is from RefSeq and is a predicted model, not a curated record.